This 476-nucleotide long non-coding RNA is filed under the name Homo sapiens (human). RNAcentral's name for it is "non-protein coding lnc-CA5A-4:10". Lineage: Eukaryota; Metazoa; Chordata; Mammalia; Primates; Hominidae. The record is from RNAcentral.
UGAUCCGGGAGCUCAGAGUUGCAGCAAGCUUAAACUUCCUUAAAAACAAACCUCUGGGAAGAGGAAAACGAGGCAAGAUGCUGAGAAAAAGUCAUCUCCCACUCUGCCCUUCUCUGGCAAAUCGAAGUGUCCUCUUGUGGGAGGCGGUGGGCAGCGACACUCCUGUUGGACGUCAGUGCUCUCGGGAUGGGCCCGGCCACCCCGGAGCAGAACUCACUUAGGGCCUGGUGCCCCUGUGCCCAGUUCUCAGAACGUCGGAGUGCUCAGUUCUCAGAACGCCGGAGUGCCCCAUUCAUAACCUGCAGCCCCGUUCAUAGCCACAGGCAGGGUCUGCUGGUUUCGGUGUCAGGGGCACAUCCCCAGGACCACGUCUGAGAUGGGAAGUGCCUUGAUGGAAAACUGAUACCUUUUUCUUUCCGAGUAACUUUAGAACAUGUCGCUUCAAAUAUAACUAAUAUCCUGAUUUCAGUGGACUU